RNAcentral lists this ribosomal RNA (440 nucleotides) under uncultured bacterium. RNAcentral describes it as "partial 16S ribosomal RNA". It matches the Rfam family "Bacterial small subunit ribosomal RNA", at positions 338 to 795 of the family's 1533-position model. The record is from RNAcentral.
CCUACGGGAGGCAGCAGUGGGGAAUAUUGCACAAUGGGGGAAACCCUGAUGCAGCGACGCCACGUGAGUGAAGAAGUAAUUCGUUAUGUAAAGCUCUAUCAGCAGGGAAAAAAAUGACGGUACCUGAGUAAGAAGCCCCGGCUAACUACGUGCCAGCAGCCGCGGUAAUACGUAGGGGGCCGGCGUUAUCCGGAUUUACUGGGUGUAAAGGGAGCGUAGACGGGAGUGCAAGUGUGGCGUGAAAGGCGUGGGCUCAAACCCCGGACUGGGCUGGAAACGGUACGGCUGGAGUGCAGGAGAGGUAAGUGGAAUUCCUAGUGUAGCGGUGAAAUGCGUAGAUAUUAGGAGGAACACCAGUGGCGAAGGCGGCUUACUGGACUGUAACUGACGCUGAGGCUCGAAAGCGUGGGGAGCAAACAGGAUUAGAUACCCUUGUAGUC